Molecule: non-coding RNA, 72 nt
Organism: Ctenocephalides felis (cat flea)
Lineage: Eukaryota; Metazoa; Arthropoda; Insecta; Siphonaptera; Pulicidae
Source: the annotation of a RefSeq genome assembly
CGCUCGUUGGUCUAGGGGUAUGAUUUUCGCUUUGGGUGCGGGAGGUCCCGGGUUCAAAUCCCGGACGAGCCC